RNAcentral lists this long non-coding RNA (4308 nucleotides) under Brassica rapa (field mustard). RNAcentral's name for it is "long non-coding RNA (BRAP_LNC006098)". The record is from RNAcentral. Lineage: Eukaryota; Viridiplantae; Streptophyta; Magnoliopsida; Brassicales; Brassicaceae.
AUUUGCUUUCUCACAAACAAGUGCACCUGUAAUAACAUCUUUUACAAUUUCCGAUGUGGAAUAUUAUUUCUUUUUUUUGAUAAAACAUACUUGCAUUCAUAAUAGAGAAUUACACUCCAUUAGAGGAGGAUGAGUUUAGCAAUGAGAGGGCUGAUUUUGCCACCGAAUCAGCCAUCACAUUACUCAAACGAGGUACAAACGAAAAGGAGAUAAAAUCAAACAACAAGCUAAAGUGAUAGAUGUCAAAUAAAAUACCAAACAAAGCUGGAACCGAGCCUCUUUCCUUCAGGAGCUUCACUAAGGAUUGGGAGUCGGACAGUAUCAUAAGGGAUUUAAUAUUCAACGAAGCGGCAUACAUAACCGCCGAACGGAUGGCGAGGGCUUCAGCCAUAAUCGCCGAUGAAACAAGACUACGCGAGUCACUGAUGGGAGGUAAGCAACCGUGUGGUCCCCCCCCCCGGAGAAGACUCCUCCUGUGCCGCAGUUCCUUGUGCCUGCAUCCCAAGCUCCAUCAACAUUGCAACGAAGCAUACCUGAUCGAACUUGGAGAGGAUGUUGCACACGUGCUUUCCCUGGGUUGGGGGGGAGCUGAGUGUCGCGAAACAGAGGCGGGGAUUGUGCAGACUGCCAUUUCCGGGCCUCAGAGAUGGCCUUAACCACUAUUUCCAUUGCAGAGAAAUUCCUGUUCUCAUAGCAUAAUCUGUUUCUUGCCUUCCAAAGGUUCCAAAGGAUCCAAGGCCACAGUGGAGUAUACAAACCAACAGGUGGGAGAAUAGUAAGAGUAUUGCAGCACUCAAUCAAGGACGCUAUAGUGGAUAUGGAUGACAGUGGCGUUGUGGCGAAAGAAGCUAGUUCCCAAACUCUUUCCGCGACUCUGCACUUGAGGAAAACAUGGAUAUCAUCUUCCAUUACAUCACAAGUUUUACAGUUGAAGGACGGGACUCCGCGUCGGCUCAGGUUCGCGCUCACCGGCACCGCUUUACGCAUCAGUUUCCAUAGGAAGUUCUUGAGCUUGGGUGAGGUUUUGAUGUUCCAUAUAUUCUUGAGCCAAUCAAAGGAGGGAGCUUGGGAGUCUUUGAGAUCAGAGAAGCCCAUUCCCACUCCAUAUCCUGUUUUAGUGGUAUAAACACCAGAUUUAUCAAAUAACCAGGCCAGAGAAUCCUGAGAUGGAGCAGAGCUUGUAACAAUGGUCAGGAUGUGCUCUUCGUACUGUGGUAAGUGUGCCCGUAUCUUGUCCUUGUCCCAGGAGUUUGAUAUGGGACACAGAAGAUCACUAACCCUCAGCUGCGCAUCUUGGUGAUUGAUCGGGCCAAUCGGUGCUUGGGGAGAGACACACGACAACCACGGGUCCUGCCAGACUCUGAUCUUCUCUCCGCUGCCUACGAUCCAUCCUAGUCCUUUCUUAAGGAUUUCUCUUCCAGCUAGGAUCCCCCGCCAUCCAUGUGACAUACUCGAUGGAGCUGUGCAGUCGAGGAAGGAAGUAUAACGAGCAUACUUACCUAGCAAGACUUGAGCAAGCAAAGAGUUAGGGGAGUGAAUCAAGCGCCAACCAAUCUUUGCUAGUAGAGCGUCAUUAAAGGUCUCGAUAUCCCAGAAACCUAAGCCUCCCGCAUACUUAGGCAGUGUGAGGGUAUCCCAAGCUACCCAACACAUUUUCUUUUGCUCCGGGUUCGCGUCCCACCAGAAUCUCGUGAGGAGAGAUUGUAUCUGUUUGCAUAGCGAUAGCGGGAUUUUGAAACAGGACAUCGUAUACGCCGGCAUAGCCGUGAGCACCGCUUUGAGGAGGAUCUCCUUUCCUGCCCCUGAGAGAAAGCGGUUUUUCCAGCUUAGAGUCUUCUGUCUAAUUCUGUCGAGAAUGGAUGCAAAGAUAUCUCGCUUCUUCCGGCCAAAGUGUUCGGGAAGGCCUAGAUAUUUCCCUAAUCCUCCCUCUGCUGUGAUAGCCAGUGUAGACUUCACCCGUGCCUUAACCUCAGGAGGAGUUUUAGCGGAGAAGGUGAUGGAGGAUUUAGCGAAAUUUAUACUCUGACCCGAGAGGGACUCAUACAGUCGAAUUAUCCGCAGCAGCGAGGAGACACUCGUCGGGUUAGAACGGCAAAAGAACAUCGUGUCAUCCGCAAAUAAUAAGUGGUUAAUGGCCGGGCUCCCACGAGCUACUCGGACUCCAGAAAGGGAACCAUCUCGCUGAGCCAUAGCACACAGCGCGGAAAGAGUUUCCGUACAUAGUAUAAAGAGGUACGGUGAUAGCGGGUCACCUUGCCGUAUUCCACGGGAUGGGGUAACUGAACCCAUAGGUGCUCCGUUGAUCAGGAAGGAAUAGGUAACCGUCUCCACACAACUCAUAACCCACGAGAUCCAAGUCUGAUCGAAACCCAAUAGCUCUAGAACCGCCCGGAGGAAGCCCCAUUCGAUCCUGUCGUAGGCCUUGCUCAUGUCCGUUUUGACGGCCAUGGAGCAGUAUUUCUUUGCCUCGGAGGUGCGGAGAUAGUGAAGUGUCUCGUGAGUUAUCAAUACAUUGUCCCCGAUGGCACGACCCGAAACAAACGCUGACUGAGAUUGAGAGAUGAGCGACGGGAGUAGUGGUUUGAGCAUGCGGGUCAAGAUCUUGGCAAUGAUCUUAUAGUGCGUGUUGCAUAAAGCAAUGGGCCGAUACUCUGCUACUUUCCUCGCUCCUGUGGUUUUGGGUAUCAAUCGAACGUGCGUCUCGUUCUGUUGCGGCUGUAGGUCACCAGAGAGGAAGAACUGUCUAACAUCGCUGCAUACAUCCGGUCCUAUAAUAUGCCAAUACGAGUGAUAGAAUUUGGCCGAGAAACCGUCCGGACCCGGGGCCUUUCCUCCAUUGAUCGAGAAGACCGCUUCCUUAAUUUCCAAGUCUGUCGGAAUCAAAAUAAGCUUCUGGUUCAUCUCUGUUGAGACCUUUCGAGAGAGAAUGGCAGGUAAUCUUGAGAAGUCGGCAUUGCCGUUGGAUGUAAAUAUAUUGUUGAAGUAGUCUGAUAUAACAGAGCAGAUCUGUUUCUCUUCGAAAAAUUCAGCGCCAUUGCAGUCCUCUAUGACAGAGAGAGAGUUAAUCAAUCGCCUUUGUCUCGUUGCCGCAUGGAAAAAGCCAGUGUUCCUAUCUCCACAUUUCAACCACUGUAUCCGACUUCUUUGUUGCCAAAAGAGUUCCUCCUCCUUAUAAGCCUCCACCAAGGAAUUAGUAAGCUUCUCAAUGUUGUCUCUGUCCGGCGCAGGAGACGUUAGGGCUGAUUCCAGAUCCUUUUGCAGUUGAACCUUGAGUUCAUUGUAUUUCUGGUUCUGCUCCUUAGCCCAUUGGAUUAUUCUUCGUCUGCAUUCAUUGAGCUUUGUUAUAACUGAGUCGAGUGGGUAGUGAUUCCAAGCACCUGCCACUACUGCUUCCAUUUCCGGCUUCUCAGUCAAAGAUCGGUUGAAACGGAACAUCCCACGGCGCUUUGAUCCUGAUUUAUUAAAGUAUGUAAUGAGCGGCCGGUGAUCCGAACCUUCAAACCGUAAAUAGCAACACCUUCCCAUUGGGAAUAAUUCAUUCCAAGAACAGUUGACCAUAGACCGGUCGAGUCUUGAUCUUACAAAAUGGGUGUAUCUGGUUCCUCGCCACGACAAGUGGUUUCCAGAAUGUUUUAAAUCCCAUAAACCAUGUUGAGAUACAAAGGUGCGUAAAGAAACAAAAGAUCCCUCCCAUCUUGCUGGACCUCCUACUUUUUCCGCAUUACUGAGUAUGUCGUUGAAGUCACCUGAGAUGAGCCAAGGUGUAUCUCGACCUCUGCCCACUUCAGAGAGCUUCUCCCAGAAUUGCGUCCGGUUUCCCACCGCCGGUGCACCAUAUAUAAAGGAGAUGAAAGUGGUGACACCCUUAUGAGUCACCUGUGUAUCAAUGAGGUUCGGGCAUGAUGUGGAAUAUUAUUUCUAAUAUGCCAAUUUGAGCUGAUAAAUUUUUAAUCUCUUUUUUAGAAUAUUUAGCUUUGGCUAAUGAUUGAUGAAUCAUCUCCUUCCCUUCGCCGAGUCUUUUCGGGGCUCGUCGAAACAAUAUCAGAACAACUUGGCGGGCAUUCUUUCCAGCCCGGGGGAUGAGUUUUGUUUGAACAUAGGCUCAAACAUGAUUUGAAGGUCCUAGCUAAUUUUGAGCCGGAUUGAUUCUAGUUUAGGUUUGAUUGUAUAUAUGGAUUGUAGAUGAGUUUCUUAUUUAAAAUUAAUUGGUAAUAAAUAUAUUAGCUUAUCUCUCUUAUAUAUUGUUUAAGAUAUUUUUCAGUUUUUGCUGUGAGAAAUUGUUCUUCUCCACAUCUAAAACAGAUGGGA